Molecule: long non-coding RNA, 501 nt
Filed under: Phoenix dactylifera (date palm)
Lineage: Eukaryota; Viridiplantae; Streptophyta; Magnoliopsida; Arecales; Arecaceae
Description: long non-coding RNA (PDAC_LNC023129)
Source: RNAcentral
CAUAACUCUGAGAAUGAAAGAGGUACAUUCAACUGGACGCCCUCCUUGUCAAAUUUUAUUUCAUAUUACUGAGCGGAAUCUUAAUGUUGGAGCCUUAUCUCGCCCCAAAGUCGGGCCUCUCUAACGGGUCGGCUUAGGGUCGACCUCCUAAUUACGUUAUGCAUGCACCGUUCGUCAAGCCUCCGAAACUGGUACAGAGGAUUUCAUAAAUUAGUGCCCAACUCGGCUCUUCGACGUAAACUCCUACGUCCGGCUGAAAAAGUGGUCCCGGCCACGAAUGUGCCAGCCAAACGCGGGUACCAAGGCAAUCUCGUGGAAACCCGAGCCUUGCUCACCGAAGCCUCGGCAGAGUCCGAGAACAAUAACUACGAAAACCGUCGGUAAUGACCUGCCUAUUGGCCCGCGCUCCCUCUGAGGGGUCUGGAGUUAAGUUCGGAGACCCGACUAAACUCCCCGAUUAGCGGCACGCACAGACCUAGUCCGGUCUUAGUUAAAGGGCUA